Long non-coding RNA from Dalotia coriaria, 455 nucleotides. RefSeq lists it as uncharacterized. Lineage: Eukaryota; Metazoa; Arthropoda; Insecta; Coleoptera; Staphylinidae. The transcript has 2 exons. The record is from RefSeq and is a predicted model, not a curated record.
UUCAUUUGCGUCCGACCUGAAAAUAAGCAGUAUAAAUACAUCUGUAAUUUUUUAUCGAAAAUCUACAGUUUGCUGUUCAACCAAGAUACAAUCAUGCAGCUUUUCGCCGUUUUCAUUUUGGCUAUUGCCUCUGCUUCAGCCUCUGACUACUAUUUCCACACGAACGGAAAUGGUGACAAAUGCACCUGCUUUUACCCUGCAGAUCCUGAAAGGAGGGUAAAUAUUCGUUCAGAGGAAGCAGAUCCAGACAUUGAUAUCGGUAAGCAUGAAAUACCUGAGACUCAAAGGAAACAUCAACGCAAAUCAAGCCUUGCCUACCGUCAAAACAACCCCCGUGUGACUGCUAAAUUCCGUAAACAACAAUUUGCUUACGGUCCUCUUGCCUUGCUGUAACAAUAGACGCGAAUAAAAUCUUAAUUUGAAUUGACUUCCAAUAAUAAUCCAAUAAUGUUAAA